This 465-nucleotide ribosomal RNA is filed under the name Vreelandella stevensii. RNAcentral's name for it is "partial 16S ribosomal RNA". It matches the Rfam family "Bacterial small subunit ribosomal RNA", at positions 338 to 795 of the family's 1533-position model. The record is from RNAcentral. Lineage: Bacteria; Pseudomonadati; Pseudomonadota; Gammaproteobacteria; Oceanospirillales; Halomonadaceae.
CCUACGGGUGGCUGCAGUGGGGAAUAUUGGACAAUGGGCGAAAGCCUGAUCCAGCCAUGCCGCGUGUGUGAAGAAGGCCUUCGGGUUGUAAAGCACUUUCAGUGGGGAAGAAAGCCUUGGGGCUAAUACCCUCGAGGAAGGACAUCACCCACAGAAGAAGCACCGGCUAACUCCGUGCCAGCAGCCGCGGUAAUACGGAGGGUGCGAGCGUUAAUCGGAAUUACUGGGCGUAAAGCGCGCGUAGGCGGUCUGAUAAGCCGGUUGUGAAAGCCCCGGGCUCAACCUGGGAACGGCAUCCGGAACUGUCAGGCUAGAGUGCAGGAGAGGAAGGUAGAAUUCCCGGUGUAGCGGGGAAAUGCGUAGAGAUCGGGAGGAAUACCAGUGGCGAAGGCGGCCUUCUGGACUGACACUGACGCUGAGGUGCGAAAGCGUGGGUAGCAAACAGGAUUAGAUACCCGAGUAGUC